UACGGAGGGUGCAAGCGUUAUCCGGAUUCACUGGGUUUAAAGGGUGCGUAGGUGGGCAGGUAAGUCCGUGGUGAAAUCUCUGAGCUUAACUCAGAAACUGCCGUGGAUACUAUUUUGUCUUGAAUAUUGUGGAGGUGAGCGGAAUAUGUCAUGUAGCGGUGAAAUGCUUUAGAUAUGACAUAGAACACCAAUUUGCGAAGGCAGCUCACUACACAAUUAUUGACGCUGAGGCACGAAAGCGUGGGAUCAAACAGG
RNAcentral lists this ribosomal RNA (255 nucleotides) under uncultured bacterium. RNAcentral's name for it is "partial 16S ribosomal RNA". It matches the Rfam family "Bacterial small subunit ribosomal RNA", at positions 524 to 776 of the family's 1533-position model. The record is from RNAcentral.